GGGAAACUUGNGCUAAUACCGUAUGUGCCCUUGGGGGGAAAGAUUUAUCGCGCAUUGGAGCGGCCCGCGUCUGAUUAGCUAGUUGGUGAGGUAAUGGCUCACCAAGGCUACGAUCAGUAGCUGGUCUGAGAGGAUGACCAGCCACAUUGGGACUGAGACACGGCCCAAACUCCUACGGGAGGCAGCAGUGGGGAAUCCUGCGCAAUGGGCGAAAGCCUGACGCAGCCAUGCCGCGUGGAUGAUGAAGGUCUUAGGAUUGUAAAAUCCUUUCACCGGGGACGAUAAUGACGGUACCCGGAGAAGAAGCCCCGGCUAACUUCGUGCCAGCAGCCGCGGUAAUACGAAGGGGGCUAGCGUUGCUCGGAAUUACUGGGCGUAAAGGGCGCGUAGGCGGACAUUUAAGUCGGGGGUGAAAUCCCAGGGCUCAACCCUGGAACUGCCUUCGAUACUGGAUGUCUUGAGUGCGGGAGAGGUGUGUGGAACUCCGAGUGUAGAGGUGAAAUUCGUAGAUAUUCGGAAGAACACCAGUGGCGAAGGCGACACACUGGCCCGUUACUGACGCUGAGGCGCGAAAGCGUGGGGAGCAAACAGGAUUAGAUACCCUGGUAGUCCAC
RNAcentral lists this ribosomal RNA (614 nucleotides) under uncultured Caulobacteraceae bacterium. RNAcentral describes it as "bacterial SSU rRNA". It matches the Rfam family "Bacterial small subunit ribosomal RNA", at positions 151 to 798 of the family's 1533-position model. Lineage: Bacteria; Pseudomonadati; Pseudomonadota; Alphaproteobacteria; Caulobacterales; Caulobacteraceae. The record is from RNAcentral.